UAUCUUCGGACGAACAGACCUGAAAAAUAAGAUUUGUUUUCAUGGGAUCUAUAUGUAUUAGAAAUUUAAAUCGAAAAGGGUCACCGUGAACUAAAAAAAAUUGGAAUUGGUCUUUGAAUUGCAUGUACCGCUGCUUAUUGAGCGUACACUCAUUGAUGCGUCAACACAGAAAAAGGCCCAGCAAAUACACGCCAUAAGCCCAACGGUCAUCAUACUCAGUCUGUUAAUUUUGUUCAACAUUUUGAAAACUGUAAAUGCACAAAUAAAAAUAAAAGUUAAAGGAAUUACCUAGAACUUUCUUAAAA
This is a long non-coding RNA of Bombyx mori (domestic silkworm), 305 nucleotides long. RefSeq lists it as uncharacterized. The record is from RefSeq and is a predicted model, not a curated record. Lineage: Eukaryota; Metazoa; Arthropoda; Insecta; Lepidoptera; Bombycidae. The transcript is spliced from 2 exons.